This is a long non-coding RNA of Quercus lobata, 320 nucleotides long. RefSeq lists it as uncharacterized. Lineage: Eukaryota; Viridiplantae; Streptophyta; Magnoliopsida; Fagales; Fagaceae. The transcript is spliced from 5 exons. The record is from RefSeq and is a predicted model, not a curated record.
AGUCCGUACAAAAAGGUGGUACAAUGAAGAUUGAGGAAGCAGAGAGCACAUACUCCUAAGGAAAUAUAUCAAUUGGUGUUGGGUGGAGAAGAUAAUCCCAUGGUGGAGGGUUCUUAGAAGCAAAAAAGACGAUCCCUAGAGAGUCCUCAAAUUCUACAGUGGCACCUCAGAAGGAAAAGGCUCCUCCUUCGUCCUCGAAGCCAGCCAAAUCUGGCGGAGGAAAGCAGGAGAAGAAGAAAUGGAGCAAGGGAAAGCAAAAGGAGAAGGUGAACAACAUGGUUUUGUUUGAUCAGGGAACCUAUGACAAGCUCCUUGUGGAA